This 497-nucleotide ribosomal RNA is filed under the name uncultured bacterium. RNAcentral's name for it is "partial 16S ribosomal RNA". It matches the Rfam family "Bacterial small subunit ribosomal RNA", at positions 28 to 507 of the family's 1533-position model. The record is from RNAcentral.
GAUGAACGCUGGCGGCGUGCCUAAUACAUGCAAGUCGAGCGAACGGACGAGAAGCUUGCUUCGCUGAUGUUAGCGGCGGACGGGUGAGUAACACGUGUAUAACCUACCUAUAAGACUGGGAUAACUUCGGGAAACCGGAGCUAAUACCGUAUGAUAUUUUGAACCGCAUGGUUCAAAAGUGAAAGACGGUCUUGCUGUCACUUAUAGAUGGAUCCGCGCUGCAUUAGCUAGUUGGUAAGGUAACGGCUUACCAAGGCAACGAUGCAUAGCCGACCUGAGAGGAUGAUCGGCCACACUGGAACUGAGACACGGUCCAGACUCCUACGGGACGCAGCAGUAGGGAAUCUUACGCAAAGGGCGAAAGCCUGACGGAGCAACGCCGCGUGAGUGAUGAAGGUCUUCGGAUCGUAAAACUCUGUUAUUAGGGAAGAACAUAUGUGUACGUAACUGUGCACAUCUUGACGGUACCUAAUCAGAAAGCCACGGCUAACUACGUG